Molecule: ribosomal RNA, 331 nt
Filed under: Odontepyris muesebecki
Lineage: Eukaryota; Metazoa; Arthropoda; Insecta; Hymenoptera; Bethylidae
Description: eukaryotic LSU rRNA
Rfam family: Eukaryotic large subunit ribosomal RNA
Source: RNAcentral
CCCCCCCUUCUAACACGGACCAAGGAGUCUAACAUGUACGCGAGUCAUUGGGACCGCAUACCUAAAGGCAAAAUGAAAGUGAAGGUCGACCUUGCGUCGACCGAGGGAGGAUGGGUCGCGUUACGAUGCGACCCCGCACUCCCGGGGCGUCUCGUUCUCAUUGCGAGAAGAGGCGCACCCAGAGCGUACACGUUGGGACCCGAAAGAUGGUGAACUAUGCCUGGUCAGGACGAAGUCAGGGGAAACCCUGAUGGAGGUCCGUAGCGAUUCUGACGUGCAAAUCGAUCGUCGGAACUGGGUAUAGGGGCGAAAGACUAAUCGAACCAUCUAG